UACGUAGGGUGCAAGCGUUGUCCGGAAUUAUUGGGCGUAAAGAGCUCGUAGGCGGUCUGUCGCGUCUGCUGUGAAAACUCAGGGCUUAACCCUGAGCUUGCAGUGGGUACGGGCAGACUAGAGUGUGGUAGGGGAGUCUGGAAUUCCUGGUGUAGCGGUGAAAUGCGCAGAUAUCAGGAGGAACACCGGUGGCGAAGGCGGGACUCUGGGCCGAUACUGACGCUGAGGAGCGAAAGCGUGGGGAGCGAACAGG
This 253-nucleotide ribosomal RNA is filed under the name uncultured bacterium. RNAcentral's name for it is "partial 16S ribosomal RNA". It matches the Rfam family "Bacterial small subunit ribosomal RNA", at positions 524 to 776 of the family's 1533-position model. The record is from RNAcentral.